UGUCUGUUAGUACGUUUGCCGAGUGUCCGUUUGUGGAAACACUCGGCAAACAAAUACACUCGGCAAAAGAGACAAAAACAUUCGGCAAAGAAAGGCACUCGGCAAAGAACGUGCCACGUGUACAACUGUCAUCAUGUUUGCCGAGUGUAAACCUGUGGCACUCGGCAAAUAAUUUUAUUUUUUCUCUUCUAACCUUGAAACAUUU
RNAcentral lists this long non-coding RNA (205 nucleotides) under Setaria italica (foxtail millet). RNAcentral's name for it is "long non-coding RNA (SITA_LNC005672)". The record is from RNAcentral. Lineage: Eukaryota; Viridiplantae; Streptophyta; Magnoliopsida; Poales; Poaceae.